This 253-nucleotide ribosomal RNA is filed under the name uncultured bacterium. RNAcentral describes it as "partial 16S ribosomal RNA". It matches the Rfam family "Bacterial small subunit ribosomal RNA", at positions 524 to 776 of the family's 1533-position model. The record is from RNAcentral.
UACGAAGGGUGCAAGCGUUACUCGGAAUUACUGGGCGUAAAGCGUGCGUAGGUGGUUUGUUAAGUCUGAUGUGAAAUCCCUGGGCUCAACCUGGGAAUUGCAUUGGAUACUGGCAGGCUAGAGUGCGGUAGAGGAUGGCGGAAUUCCCGGUGUAGCAGUGAAAUGCGUAGAGAUCGGGAGGAACAUCUGUGGCGAAGGCGGCCAUCUGGACCAGCACUGACACUGAGGCACGAAAGCGUGGGGAGCAAACAGG